AAAUUGAAGAGUUUGAUCAUGGCUCAGAUUGAACGCUGGCGGCAGGCCUAACACAUGCAAGUCGAACGGUAACAGGAAACAGCUUGCUGUUUCGCUGACGAGUGGCGGACGGGUGAGUAAUGUCUGGGAAACUGCCUGAUGGAG
RNAcentral lists this ribosomal RNA (144 nucleotides) under Escherichia coli. RNAcentral's name for it is "partial 16S ribosomal RNA". It matches the Rfam family "Bacterial small subunit ribosomal RNA", at positions 1 to 138 of the family's 1533-position model. Lineage: Bacteria; Pseudomonadati; Pseudomonadota; Gammaproteobacteria; Enterobacterales; Enterobacteriaceae. RNAcentral also lists the same sequence under 1 other name. The record is from RNAcentral.